CCAAGGAAGGCAGCAGGCGCGCAAAUUACCCAAUCCCGACUCGGGGAGGUAGUGACAAUAAAUACUGAUACAGGGCUCUUUUGGGUCUUGUAAUCGGAAUGAGUACAAUUUAAACCCCUUAACGAGGAACAAUUGGAGGGCAAGUCUGGUGCCAGCAGCCGCGGUAAUUCCAGCUCCAAUAGCGUAUAUUAAAGUUGUUGCAGUUAAAAAGCUCGUAGUUGAACCUUGGGCCUGGCUGGCCGGUCCGCCUCACCGCGUGUACUGGUCCGGCCGGGCCUUUCCUUCUGGAGAGCCGCAUGCCCUUCACUGGGUGUGUCGGGGAACCAGGACUUUUACUUUGAAAAAAUUAGAGUGUUCAAAGCAGGCCUUUGCUCGAAUACGUUAGCAUGGAAUAAUAGAAUAGGACGUGCGGUCCUAUUUUGUUGGUUUCUAGGACCGCCGUAAUGAUUAAUAGGGAUAGUCGGGGGCAUCAGUAUUCAAUUGUCAGAGGUGAAAUUCUUGGAUUUAUUGAAGACUAACUACUGCGAAAGCAUUUGCCAAGGAUGUUUUCAUUAAUCAGUGAACGAAAGUUAGGGGAUCGAAGACGAUCAGAUACCGUCGUAGUCUUAACCGUAAACUAUGCCGACUAGGGAUCGGGCGAUGUUUCUAUCUUGACUCGCUCGGCACCUUACGAGAAAUCAUAAG
Molecule: ribosomal RNA, 684 nt
Filed under: Atrocalyx acervatus
Lineage: Eukaryota; Fungi; Ascomycota; Dothideomycetes; Pleosporales; Lophiotremataceae
Description: SSU rRNA
Rfam family: Eukaryotic small subunit ribosomal RNA
Source: RNAcentral